Molecule: ribosomal RNA, 427 nt
Filed under: uncultured bacterium
Lineage: Bacteria
Description: partial 16S ribosomal RNA
Rfam family: Bacterial small subunit ribosomal RNA
Source: RNAcentral
UGGGGAAUAUUGCACAAUGGGCGCAAGCCUGAUGCAGUCAUGCCGCGUGUAUGAAGAAGGCCUUCGGGUUGUAAAGUACUUUCAGCGGGGAGGAAGGGAGUAAAGUUAAUACCUUUGCUCAUUGACGUUACCCGCAGAAGAAGCACCGGCUAACUCCGUGCCAGCAGCCGCGGUAAUACGGAGGGUGCAAGCGUUAAUCGGAAUUACUGGGCGUAAAGCGCACGCAGGCGGUUUGUUAAGUCAGAUGUGAAAUCCCCGGGCUCAACCUGGGAACUGCAUCUGAUACUGGCAAGCUUGAGUCUCGUAGAGGGGGGUAGAAUUCCAGGUGUAGCGGUGAAAUGCGUAGAGAUCUGGAGGAAUACCGGUGGCGAAGGCGGCCCCCUGGACGAAGACUGACGCUCAGGUGCGAAAGCGUGGGGAGCAAACA